CACCCUUGAUAAUUGCUCAUGAGGAAUUUCAGGUAGAUUUCCAGUGCACUUUUAGGUAAAUUUAAGUAGAUUUGCAGAAGAUUUUCAGGGGAAUUCAGGUAAUUCUCAGGACAUGAGAAAGUGAAUUUGGAAAACAACUGUAUUUUCGGAAAAAUUAUUAUAUGUCCUGAAAAUUUUUUGUACAUCUGGAAACAUUUUGGUAACCCCCCCCCCCCCCCCUCUAUCUAACCUCACACACCCCCUGAGACGAAGUGCUAGCAACGGCACUGAGUAUACAUCUUUUGAAAACAGGCGAG
RNAcentral lists this long non-coding RNA (296 nucleotides) under Paramuricea clavata. The record is from RNAcentral. Lineage: Eukaryota; Metazoa; Cnidaria; Anthozoa; Malacalcyonacea; Plexauridae.